CCUACGGGUGGCAGCAGUGGGGAAUAUUGCACAAUGGGGGAAACCCUGAUGCAGCGACGCCGCGUGAAGGAAGAAGUAUUUCGGUAUGUAAACUUCUAUCAGCAGGGAAGAAAAUGACGGUACCUGACUAAGAAGCCCCGGCUAACUACGUGCCAGCAGCCGCGGUAAUACGUAGGGGGCAAGCGUUAUCCGGAUUUACUGGGUGUAAAGGGAGCGUAGGCGGUUUAGCAAGUCAGAAGUGAAAGCCCGGGGUUCAACUCCGGGACUGCUUUUGAAACUGUUGAACUAGAGUGCAGGAGAGGUAAGUGGAAUUCCUAGUGUAGCGGUGAAAUGCGUAGAUAUUAGGAGGAACACCAGUGGCGAAGGCAGCUUACUGGACUGUAAAUGACGCUGAGGCUCGAAAGCGUGGGGAGCAAACAGGAUUAGAUACCCUUGUAGUC
RNAcentral lists this ribosomal RNA (440 nucleotides) under uncultured bacterium. RNAcentral describes it as "partial 16S ribosomal RNA". It matches the Rfam family "Bacterial small subunit ribosomal RNA", at positions 338 to 795 of the family's 1533-position model. The record is from RNAcentral.